This 547-nucleotide small RNA is filed under the name Cryptococcus neoformans H99. RNAcentral describes it as "Cryptococcus neoformans var. grubii H99 hypothetical RNA". The record is from RNAcentral. Lineage: Eukaryota; Fungi; Basidiomycota; Tremellomycetes; Tremellales; Cryptococcaceae.
CGUGGCCCCGCAGCGCCUAUGUGUGGUGCAUAAAGCAUCCCAGCUAAGACAGCAGUGAAAAUGGCAGGCUGCACUUGCUAUACACUCCCGUCUGCAAAGGCGCAGUCCACAUGUCUCUUCUAUACAUCUGACCGGUCACGUCAAGACUUCCCGAUUCAUGACUCGCUCGUCUGCUUCUUGUUGGUUUUCUCUUCUCGAAUGUCGAGCAGCCCAAGGGCAAAGCCUUUCGUCGAGCUGAAGUUCAUGCAUAUAACCUGUGGCGUCACCUUAUAUCUGGCCGGCAACGCCAUGUUCUUACUUCUGGCCUCGAGCCCGUUGGUAAUCAUUACGAUCUUCAGUCAUCUUAUCAGAUCAGAAGCGGAGUAGUCGCGCGCUUGUUUGUUGGGCUUGGGGUGUUGGGUGCUUGUCGUUCAGGAUUCCAACAGUUAGCGUGACGGCCAGAGUUAGGUAUAUGCAUCUGCAUUUCGCAUGGGACCCAGGUCAGAAUUUCAAGGGAUGCAAGAAGAAGAGAAAAGUGGAAGAGGCAACAUCUCACGUCAUCGAUCAU